GCGGUUGUGGCUCAGCGGUAGAGUGCUCGCCUAGCAUGCUUGAGGCCCUGGGUUCGAUCCUCAGCACCACA
RNAcentral lists this transfer RNA (71 nucleotides) under Ictidomys tridecemlineatus (thirteen-lined ground squirrel). RNAcentral describes it as "Spermophilus tridecemlineatus (thirteen-lined ground squirrel) tRNA". It matches the Rfam family "tRNA". Rfam says of the family: Transfer RNA (tRNA) molecules are approximately 80 nucleotides in length. Their secondary structure includes four short double-helical elements and three loops (D, anti-codon, and T loops). Further hydrogen bonds mediate the characteristic L-shaped molecular structure. tRNAs have two regions of fundamental functional importance: the anti-codon, which is responsible for specific mRNA codon recognition, and the 3' end, to which the tRNAs corresponding amino acid is attached (by aminoacyl-tRNA synthetases). tRNAs cope with the degeneracy of the genetic code in two manners: having more than one tRNA (with a specific anti-codon) for a particular amino acid; and 'wobble' base-pairing, i.e. permitting non-standard base-pairing at the 3rd anti-codon position. The record is from Rfam by way of RNAcentral. Lineage: Eukaryota; Metazoa; Chordata; Mammalia; Rodentia; Sciuridae.